Brienomyrus brachyistius is the source of this 729-nucleotide long non-coding RNA. RefSeq lists it as uncharacterized. NCBI's taxonomy places the organism in Eukaryota, Metazoa, Chordata, Actinopteri, Osteoglossiformes, Mormyridae. The transcript has 2 exons. The record is from RefSeq and is a predicted model, not a curated record.
CCUCGUGCGCUGCCGUGAAGCCCUCGUGUUGCUGCGCCGCCGCGCGGUGGUGCCGCUUCCCGUUCAGGGGCUGGAACACCAGCUUGGCCGGCGGAGAGCUGCGGCACACGGGAGAUGAAGGUCACCCUCACUGGAUUUCAAGACCAUGCAAAAAGGCCGAAAACGUCCCGUCACCGGGAUCGAAACUCCGCUGCUAUGCAAUAGCAAGACAUGUGACUUCGGGGUCACGAUCGACACUGUCACCGGCGCACUGAGGGUGUAAGAUCUCCAACCCAAAGCAGCACGUCUGCUGUCCGCACGUCGAGGGCACUUACUUUGUCAAAGCCCAAGCGCCUGAUUUGAUCUUAGCCUCGCUGACUUUGAUGUCGAUCUGCUGCGUGGGACCUGUGUGCGUUUGCAGAGGAAUACAGCAGAUCGCAUGUGUUUUGUCACCCUGCACACGGAGCAAUUACAAUCCUCUCGCAGGUGGAUAGUUAAUAGGUAGUUGUUUCUACUGUUAAGUAAUAACAAGCAAGACAGUUACAAAAAGGUGACAAAGACAUACCUGUUCUUCGCUGCGUAACAAGUUUGCUGGGACCUUUGGUUAUCGUGUACAUCAUGCGCUUAACGAUUUACCCCUCCACUGGCCAAUAUCACAGAGGAAAGUACGAAAUCCCAACUGAUCAAAAUCAGAACAGCAAAACGAUCAGAUGGGAGUAAAAAUCAGUAAUUUGUAUUAAAAACUCGAAA